RNAcentral lists this ribosomal RNA (1372 nucleotides) under uncultured bacterium. Its description in RNAcentral is "bacterial SSU rRNA". It matches the Rfam family "Bacterial small subunit ribosomal RNA", at positions 28 to 1381 of the family's 1533-position model. The record is from RNAcentral.
GAUGAACGCUGGCGGCGUGCCUAAUACAUGCAAGUCGAGCGAACGGACGAGAAGCUUGCUUUUCUGAUGUUAGCGGCGGACGGGUGAGUAACACGUGGAUAACCUACCUAUAAGACUGGGAUAACUUCGGGAAACCGGAGCUAAUACCGGAUAAUAUUUUGAACCGCAUGGUUCAAAAGUGAAAGACGGUCUUGCUGUCACUUAUAGAUGGAUCCGCGCUGCAUUAGCUAGUUGGUAAGGUAACGGCUUACCAAGGCAACGAUGCAUAGCCGACCUGAGAGGGUGAUCGGCCACACUGGAACUGAGACACGGUCCAGACUCCUACGGGAGGCAGCAGUAGGGAAUCUUCCGCAAUGGGCGAAAGCCUGACGGAGCAACGCCGCGUGAGUGAUGAAGGUCUUCGGAUCGUAAAACUCUGUUAUUAGGGAAGAACAUAUGUGUAAGUAACUGUGCACAUCUUGACGGUACCUAAUCAGAAAGCCACGGCUAACUACGUGCCAGCAGCCGCGGUAAUACGUAGGUGGCAAGCGUUAUCCGGAAUUAUUGGGCGUAAAGCGCGCGUAGGCGGUUUUUUAAGUCUGAUGUGAAAGCCCACGGCUCAACCGUGGAGGGUCAUUGGAAACUGGAAAACUUGAGUGCAGAAGAGGAAAGUGGAAUUCCAUGUGUAACGGUGAAAUGCGCAGAGAUAUGGAGGAACACCAGUGGCGAAGGCGACUUUCUGGUCUGUAACUGACGCUGAUGUGCGAAAGCGUGGGGAUCAAACAGGAUUAGAUACCCUGGUAGUCCACGCCGUAAACGAUGAGUGCUAAGUGUUAGGGGGUUUCCGCCCCUUAGUGCUGCAGCUAACGCAUUAAGCACUCCGCCUGGGGAGUACGACCGCAAGGUUGAAACUCAAAGGAAUUGACGGGGACCCGCACAAGCGGUGGAGCAUGUGGUUUAAUUCGAAGCAACGCGAAGAACCUUACCAAAUCUUGACAUCCUUUGACAACUCUAGAGAUAGAGCCUUCCCCUUCGGGGGACAAAGUGACAGGUGGUGCAUGGUUGUCGUCAGCUCGUGUCGUGAGAUGUUGGGUUAAGUCCCGCAACGAGCGCAACCCUUAAGCUUAGUUGCCAUCAUUAAGUUGGGCACUCUAAGUUGACUGCCGGUGACAAACCGGAGGAAGGUGGGGAUGACGUCAAAUCAUCAUGCCCCUUAUGAUUUGGGCCACACACGUGCUACAAUGGACAAUACAAAGGGCAGCGAAACCGCGAGGUCAAGCAAAUCCCAUAAAGUUGUUCUCAGUUCGGAUUGUAGUCUGCAACUCGACUACAUGAAGCUGGAAUCGCUAGUAAUCGUAGAUCAGCAUGCUACGGUGAAUACGUUCCCGGGUCU